Lytechinus variegatus (green sea urchin) is the source of this 1391-nucleotide long non-coding RNA. RefSeq lists it as uncharacterized. The transcript is spliced from 2 exons. Lineage: Eukaryota; Metazoa; Echinodermata; Echinoidea; Temnopleuroida; Toxopneustidae. The record is from RefSeq and is a predicted model, not a curated record.
CAUUAAAAAUGCAUUUAUUUUAUUUUAUUUAUUUUCCUCAGCAAAGCUUGCUUAUUUAUCUAAGUUUCACUCCACAGCAAGGUUGCUAAGAGACAAGGAGUAGAUCUUAUGCAAGAGUGAGUAGGAGAUGAGAGAAGUGUGUGUGAGAUUCCUUUUGCUAGAAUUGAAUUGCAUUUCUAUUGUGUGUUGUGUCUAGGGUGGUAGACUUGUAUAGGUCCCUUUUAGUGAGCUCAGUGAGCCUUUCUUUUUAAACAGCUGCUUAAAAUACUUUUGGGGAAAUUGCAAAAUUGGGAGGAGACCCCAGUAGCUUUCCACUAGUUUUCUAGCAUUACAUCUUGGAGACUUUGUGUAACACACACCUAUGCAAUUUUGGGGCAGUCGCCAUUUUAUCUGCCAUCUUGAUAAUUUUUGAAUUUCAACUUUAAGCAGAAAAGCAGCCUUACUUGUUUGAUAUUGGCUGGAACUUAUAAAUACCUGUAUGAGGUCAGAUUUAGCAGAAUAUAUGCUGUUAUUUUAUGCCUGAAUAGAAGAAGCCAUCGAUGGUUCCAAGAUCGGGAUAUUUUCCAACACCGGAUAAUUUCCAGGAUCGGGACAUUUCCCAAGGUCGGGUCGUUUAGGAGACUGGUGAAUUAUUAGUAAGCUGAGAAUAUAAAGCGCCGUCUUUGAUGGAGGUUUUCGGCCAACAGAUAAGUUAUUAUAAAGAACAAUGAGAGAUAAAGCAGGAGGACUUUUCUUUAAAUGUGAACUCGAUUUCUGAAUAUCAGAAAGUCUAGCGAUUGGAGAUUUGAGAUUGAAGAUACAGACAUUAAUUAUGACUGAAAAGUUGAUUGAUAGAAGUACUGGUUUAAAUUUGGAUCCUUGUAAGAUAUGUCGGAGGAUAGUCUUGAGCUAGAGUUUGGAGAACAGCUCAAGUUUCAGGUGUUAGAAGAUAAAAUGUGAUCAGAAAAAUAUAUUAGGUCAGAGAUACAAAAUGGUGAAAGUAGAAUUAUAUAUGAAGGUGGAUUAAUGCAGGAUCCUUUCAUAAUUAUGAAUGUUUGGUAGUUAUGAUUGUGAAAAGAAUGAAACAAAGUUAAAGGUUCAAUUGAUAUUUUUUUUGAAGGUAUUGUUACAAGUGAAAGUGUAAUAUACUGAAACGUAAGUUGUUGAUUAGAUCAGUACAGGGUCUUUUCAGGGAUACUGGAGUAAGAAACAGGUCGAGAGUUAGGAAGUUAUAGAUUGGAUCAAAUCAGGAUCCUUUGCUUAUUUUAUGGUUGUAAACUUGUGAAUCAGAGUACUUUUCAGAACACUUUAUCAUUUGAGGUGUUAGUUUUAUUUCCCCUUUUGAACGUCAAAGAGAUAUGUUGAUAUUGGAGUUUUGUAUACUGAAAUAAAUUGUAAAUUGUGAUUUGGUA